ACUUAGAUCUAGAAAUAGACUAAGGGUUAAGAGGGUUUUAAUAGAUUGAUUAAAGAACCUAAUGGGUCUUGGUUAAUUUUAACUCCACGAAAGUAGGAUUAAGUUAAUUAAGACACUCUUUAUCUCACUCGAAAGGGUAUUCAAAGGAUUUAAGAAUUAAUCUCCUUAAAACUCAUAAGUUUCAUAAGAUUGGACAACCAAUUUAAAAUCCCAAAAUAGCUCGAAUAUGAAAUCCCGAACUCCGGAAUCGCCUUUUUAUCUUUGAUUAAUUUUCAAUUAAUUGCUUGCCAUUUUGAAUAUUGCCAUAUUUGAACUUGCUUAUUUCAAUUUGAUGCAAUUUUAGUUAAAUCAUUACAUAGUUGAAUAGACUAUUAAUUUUGCACAUAUAAAUUUCACACUCCAAUACCCAUUCAAUCUAUUAUUUUAAUUUCAAAAUUAG
Molecule: unclassified non-coding RNA, 439 nt
Filed under: Hevea brasiliensis (rubber tree)
Lineage: Eukaryota; Viridiplantae; Streptophyta; Magnoliopsida; Malpighiales; Euphorbiaceae
Source: RNAcentral